GACGAACGCUGGCGGCGUGCCUAAUACAUGCAAGUCGAGCGGAGCUAUUCCUUCGGGGAUAGCUUAGCGGCGGACGGGUGAGUAACACGUAGGUAACCUGCCUGUAAGACUGGGAUAACUACCGGAAACGGUAGCUAAGACCGGAUAACUGGUUCUCUCGCAUGAGGGAAUCAUGAAACACGGAGCAAUCUGUGACUUAUAGAUGGGCCUGCGGCGCAUUAGCUAGUUGGUGAGGUAAUGGCUCACCAAGGCGACGAUGCGUAGCCGACCUGAGAGGGUGAACGGCCACACUGGGACUGAGACACGGCCCAGACUCCUACGGGAGGCAGCAGUAGGGAAUCUUCCGCAAUGGGCGCAAGCCUGACGGAGCAACGCCGCGUGAGUGAUGAAGGUUUUCGGAUCGUAAAGCUCUGUUGCCAAGGAAGAAAUGCCAGGAGAGUAACUGCUCUUGGUUUGACGGUACUUGAGAAGAAAGCCCCGGCUAACUACGUGCCAGCAGCCGCAGUAAUAC
RNAcentral lists this ribosomal RNA (511 nucleotides) under uncultured bacterium. RNAcentral's name for it is "bacterial SSU rRNA". It matches the Rfam family "Bacterial small subunit ribosomal RNA", at positions 28 to 526 of the family's 1533-position model. The record is from RNAcentral.